AUGAACGCUGGCGGCGUGCCUAAUACAUGCAAGUCGAGCGAACGGACGAGAAGCUUGCUUCUCUGAUGUUAGCGGCGGACGGGUGAGUAACACGUGGAUAACCUACCUAUAAGACUGGGAUAACUUCGGGAAACCGGAGCUAAUACCGGAUAAUAUUUUGAACCGCAUGGUUCAAAAGUGAAAGACGGUCUUGCUGUCACUUAUAGAUGGAUCCGCGCUGCAUUAGCUAGUUGGUAAGGUAACGGCUUACCAAGGCAACGAUGCAUAGCCGACCUGAGAGGGUGAUCGGCCACACUGGAACCGAGACACGGUCCAGGCUCCUACGGGAGGCAGCAGUAGGGAAUCUUCCGCAAUGGGCGAAAGCCUGACGGAGCAACGCCGCGUGAGUGAUGAAGGUCUUCGGAUCGUAAAACUCUGUUAUUAGGGAAGAACAUAUGUGUAAGUAACUGUGCACAUCUUGACGGUACCUAAUCAGAAAGCCACGGCUAACUACGUG
Molecule: ribosomal RNA, 496 nt
Filed under: uncultured bacterium
Lineage: Bacteria
Description: partial 16S ribosomal RNA
Rfam family: Bacterial small subunit ribosomal RNA
Source: RNAcentral